UGGCCUAUGAAAGAAGGUAAGGCAACUGCACCACUGUUCCACCCAUCAUCAGCCAUGAUUUAUUCCCAAACCAAAGUACCUCUCAUCCUGGGGCUAAGGAAGGAAAAAGACUUACCUCGUUCAUCUAGAAGAAUAUUCUCCAUCUGAAAGAUCACAGGGGCAUGUUUGGUACCUCUGGCGAUUUGCGAAAUGACCUUCUGACCCCAGAACUCCGAGUCAAACCCUGUGCCACACCCUUCCCAGGGCCCAGUGGUACUGCAUCAUCUGUUGCAAUCAGCUGCCGAGGCUUCACCACUGGUAUUCCUAUGAAAAAGCAAGUGUACCAGCUGUCAUCCAUCCUCGUUCUGAAGUCUCAGCUGUCUUUGGGGUUGCUACCCUAUUCUUCUGGGGCUCCACCAUAAAAGUUCUCACCAGUAGUCACCAGUUUGGACUUAUCCUCUUCAUCACCAACUUCAUCAUCUUCCACACUUCGGCCAGGAAAGAAAAAGCCCAUCAUUCUGUGGAAGAACUGGUGUGUCAGCUGGAUGGUGAGAGGCACCACAUUUACCUAAAAA
This 554-nucleotide long non-coding RNA is filed under the name Homo sapiens (human). RNAcentral's name for it is "HSALNT0389193". Lineage: Eukaryota; Metazoa; Chordata; Mammalia; Primates; Hominidae. The record is from RNAcentral.